UUAUACAAUCAUAAGUUUACUAUAACAUUUAACCAUUUAUUUUUAAUCUAAAAAUAUACUAUUUUAAAUAGAUUUCUUCCACUUCAUUAUCAUCUCUUCAAGUUAAUGUUUCCAACAAAUAUGAAUAUCUUCUUAUUAUUAAAAAAAACUCUUAUAGUCUUCCAUUUCAAUUCAAUUCUUUUGUUCAUCCUAAAUUAUAUUUGAGGUCUCCUUAUUAUUCUCAAAAA
RNAcentral lists this long non-coding RNA (227 nucleotides) under Arabidopsis lyrata. RNAcentral's name for it is "long non-coding RNA (ALYR_LNC001005)". Lineage: Eukaryota; Viridiplantae; Streptophyta; Magnoliopsida; Brassicales; Brassicaceae. The record is from RNAcentral.